RNAcentral lists this ribosomal RNA (660 nucleotides) under uncultured Lachnospiraceae bacterium. RNAcentral describes it as "bacterial SSU rRNA". It matches the Rfam family "Bacterial small subunit ribosomal RNA", at positions 67 to 735 of the family's 1533-position model. Lineage: Bacteria; Bacillati; Bacillota; Clostridia; Lachnospirales; Lachnospiraceae. The record is from RNAcentral.
UUUACAGAUUUCUUCGGAAUGAAGUUUUAGUGACUGAGUGGCGGACGGGUGAGUAACGCGUGGGUAACCUGCCUCACACAGGGGGAUAACAGUUGGAAACGGCUGCUAAUACCGCAUAAGCGCACAGUACCGCAUGGUACAGUGUGAAAAACUCCGGUGGUGUGAGAUGGACCCGCGUCUGAUUAGCUAGUUGGCAGGGCAGCGGCCUACCAAGGCGACGAUCAGUAGCCGACCUGAGAGGGUGACCGGCCACAUUGGGACUGAGACACGGCCCAAACUCCUACGGGAGGCAGCAGUGGGGAAUAUUGCACAAUGGGGGAAACCCUGAUGCAGCGACGCCGCGUGAGCGAAGAAGUAUUUCGGUAUGUAAAGCUCUAUCAGCAGGGAAGAAGAAAUGACGGUACCUGACUAAGAAGCACCGGCUAAAUACGUGCCAGCAGCCGCGGUAAUACGUAUGGUGCAAGCGUUAUCCGGAUUUACUGGGUGUAAAGGGAGCGCAGGCGGAAGGCUAAGUCUGAUGUGAAAGCCCGGGGCUCAACCCCUGUACUGCAUUGGAAACUGGUCAUCUAGAGUGUCGGAGGGGUAAGUGGAAUUCCUAGUGUAGCGGUGAAAUGCGUAGAUAUUAGGAGGACACCAGUGGCGAAGGCGGCUUACUGAACG